GACAGAGGAGGCUAGCGUUGUUCGGAUUCAUUGGGCUUAAAGCGGGUGUAGGCGGCUGCGCAAGUGUCUUGUGAAAGCCCCCGGCUCAACCGGGGAAUUGCUGGGCAAACUGCGUAGCUUGAGGUCGGUAGGGGUGCCUGGAACUCUAGGUGGAGCGGUGAAAUGCGUAGAUAUCUAGAGGAACGCCAGAGGCGAAAGCGGGGCACUGGGCCGAUUCUGACGCUGAGAUCCGAAAGCGUGGGGAG
RNAcentral lists this ribosomal RNA (245 nucleotides) under uncultured bacterium. Its description in RNAcentral is "partial 16S ribosomal RNA". It matches the Rfam family "Bacterial small subunit ribosomal RNA", at positions 524 to 768 of the family's 1533-position model. The record is from RNAcentral.